GAGCCUGGUAGCGCAGUGGUUGUCGCGCCCCCUGCGCGGGGGAGGACGUCGGUUCGAAUCCGGCCCGGCUCG
RNAcentral lists this transfer RNA (72 nucleotides) under Saccharothrix longispora. Its description in RNAcentral is "tRNA-Arg". It matches the Rfam family "tRNA". From Rfam's summary of the family: Transfer RNA (tRNA) molecules are approximately 80 nucleotides in length. RNAcentral also lists the same sequence under 1 other name. Lineage: Bacteria; Bacillati; Actinomycetota; Actinomycetes; Pseudonocardiales; Pseudonocardiaceae. The record is from RNAcentral.